This 895-nucleotide long non-coding RNA is filed under the name Equus asinus (donkey). RNAcentral's name for it is "lncRNA (ENSEASG00005038464.1)". Lineage: Eukaryota; Metazoa; Chordata; Mammalia; Perissodactyla; Equidae. The record is from RNAcentral.
CAGCUGUUAGCUUUGCAACCGCUGGCAUGGGAUUUGAGUCACAAGCCUACACUGUACUUUGGAGCUCCCUUCUGCCCUCGGAAGUCCUGCAAAGGGCUGUGCUUCCUUGUACGACGACGAAGAGAAAAGGUCCCCAGCAGUCUCUUACAGACAGGAACAACAGAGAGCGAGUAUUUCCAGACAAGUGAGGAAAUUCCCAGAAGCUAGCGGCCAGGGAGCGUGAAUCCUGGAGAACAGGCUUGAGAUGAAGAAAGGAUUCCACAUCUCCUACGAAGCUGCUGAUUUUCCUUCCUCCCUCAGCAGCGACCCUCCGAACUUCCCACUCACAGCAGAGUCGGAUCCAUUGAAAAUAGCGAGAGGGCUGACAAGUUUUGGCAGCUGCAGGCUCACAGAUCACGAAGUGAGGAGGACAAAGACCUAGUUUUAGGAUUUUGACCUAAUGGCUUGAUAGUGUUUUCUGAGCCUCCAGUGGGGUUAUUAAUCCCCUUCUGGUGGCACUCAACCUGCCACGAUGCUGCCUCCCAGCUGACACCACCAAUGACAGCAAUGACAACCGCUACAGGAAUUGCUUUCCAGGGUUCCAAGAAGGUUUCAGCUGCACGACGCCCUUCACUCCUCACAAUAGACACGGGAAAAUGGGUAGAUUCUAGGUUAUUUUUCUAAAGAUGCAUGUAUUAGGUUAUGGUAUACAUUUGGCUGUUUUGAGACAUCACAUAUUUGAAAAAAAGAUUUUUGCUGUUGUUGACCAAUAUACAAUAAAGCUUUUUAGGGGGUUAUAUAAUCUACACUACUUCUUUACCAUCAGAAAACCUGGGAGUCGAAUGUGAAUAUAAUAACACCAUUUACUUUCAUUUUCUCUCUACCGCAGGGUAAGAAUAAAUACCUUGCAUUUUUA